RNAcentral lists this unclassified non-coding RNA (279 nucleotides) under plant metagenome. RNAcentral's name for it is "partial contains small subunit ribosomal RNA, internal transcribed spacer 1, and 5.8S ribosomal RNA". The record is from RNAcentral.
UUUCCGUAGGUGAACCUGCGGAAGGAUCAUUACUAAGUGAGGGCCCUCUGGGUACAACCUACCACCCGAGCUGAUUGUACAUUUUUUCUUUCGUUAACCCCCGUCACGUCCGCUGGCGCUCCUCUACCCCCAGGGCCGCGCUCGCCGCAGCCACCCUCGUACUCGUGUUGAAGCUUGCAGUCUGAGCGAAACCUAAUUAAGUUAAAACUUUCAACAACUGAUCUCUUAGUUCCGGUAUCGAUGCAGAACCCAGUAGUUCUGCAGUGUAAUUAUCCCAAU